GACGAACGCUGGCGGCGUGCUUAACACAUGCAAGUCGAACGAUGAGACAGUGCCUUGCUCCUCUGGUUUAGUGGCGAACGGGUGAGUAACACGUGAGCAAUCUGCCCCUGACUCUGGAAUAACUACGGGAAACUGUAGCUAAUACCGGAUAUGCGCUCAACAGGCAUCUGUAUCGGUGGGAAAGAAUGUCGGUGAGGGAUGAACUCGCGGCCUAUCAGCUUGUUGGUGAGGUAGCGGCUCACCAAGGCUUCGACGGGUAGCCGGCCUGAGAGGGUGACCGGCCACAUUGGGACUGAGACACGGCCCAGACUCCUACGGGAGGCAGCAGUGGGGAAUAUUGCACAAUGGGCGGAAGCCUGAUGCAGCAACGCCGCGUGCGGGAUGACGGCCUUCGGGUUGUAAACCUCUUUUGGCAGGGAAGAAGCGAAAGUGACGGUACUUGAUAAAGAAGCACCGGCUAACUACGUG
This 468-nucleotide ribosomal RNA is filed under the name uncultured bacterium. RNAcentral describes it as "partial 16S ribosomal RNA". It matches the Rfam family "Bacterial small subunit ribosomal RNA", at positions 28 to 507 of the family's 1533-position model. The record is from RNAcentral.